Molecule: ribosomal RNA, 270 nt
Filed under: uncultured archaeon
Lineage: Archaea
Description: partial 16S ribosomal RNA
Rfam family: Archaeal small subunit ribosomal RNA
Source: RNAcentral
CAGCACCUCAAGUGGUCAGGAUGAUUAUUGGGCCUAAAGCAUCCGUAGCCUGCUUUGUUAGUUUUCGGUUAAAUCCAUACGCUCAACGUAUGGGCUGCCGGGAAUACUGCAAAGCUAGGGAGUGGGAGAGGUAGACGGUACUCGGUAGGAAGGGGUAAAAUCCUUUGAUCUAUUGAUGACCACCUGUGGCGAAGGCGGUCUACCAGAACAUGUCCGACGGUGAGGGAUGAAAGCUGGGGGAGCAAACCAGAUUAGAUACCCGAGUAGUCC